CCUACGGGAGGCAGCAGUGAGGAAUAUUGGUCAAUGGGCGCGAGCCUGAACCAGCCAAGUAGCGUGAAGGAUGACUGCCCUACGGGUUGUAAACUUCUUUUAUAAAGGAAUAAAGUGAGGCACGUGUGCCUUUUUGUAUGUACUUUAUGAAUAAGGAUCGGCCAACUGCGUGCCAGCAGCCGCGGUAAUACGGAGGAUCCGAGCGUUAUCCGGAUUUAUUGGGUUUAAAGGGAGCGUAGAUGGGUUGGUAAGUCAGUUGUGAAAGUUUGCGGCUCAACCGUAAAAUUGCAAUUGAUACUGGCAGCCUUGAGUACAGUAGAGGUAGGCGGAAUUCGUGGUGUAGCGGUGGAAUGCGUAGAUAUCACGAAGAACUCCGAUUGCGAAGGCAGCCUACUAGACUGCCACUGACAUUGAGGCUCGAAAGUGUGGGUAUCAAACAGGAUUAGAUACCCUGGUAGUC
RNAcentral lists this ribosomal RNA (460 nucleotides) under uncultured bacterium. RNAcentral's name for it is "partial 16S ribosomal RNA". It matches the Rfam family "Bacterial small subunit ribosomal RNA", at positions 338 to 795 of the family's 1533-position model. The record is from RNAcentral.